AUUGAACGCUAGCGGGAUGCUCUACACAUGCAAGUCGAACGGCAGCGCGGACUUCGGUCUGGCGGCGAGUGGCGAACGGGUGAGUAAUGUAUCGGAACGUGCCCAGUAGCGGGGGAUAACUACGCGAAAGCGUAGCUAAUACCGCAUACGCCCUACGGGGGAAAGCAGGGGAUCGUAAGACCUUGCACUAUUGGAGCGGCCGAUAUCGGAUUAGCUAGUUGGUGAGGUAACGGCUCACCAAGGCGACGAUCCGUAGCUGGUUUGAGAGGACGACCAGCCACACUGGGACUGAGACACGGCCCAGACUCCUACGGGAGGCAGCAGUGGGGAAUUUUGGACAAUGGGGGCAACCCUGAUCCAGCCAUCCCGCGUGUGCGAUGAAGGCCUUCGGGUUGUAAAGCACUUUUGGCAGGAAAGAAACGUCGCGGGCUAAUACCCCGUGGAACUGACGGUACCUGCAGAAUAAGCACCGGCUAACUACGUG
This 484-nucleotide ribosomal RNA is filed under the name uncultured bacterium. RNAcentral describes it as "partial 16S ribosomal RNA". It matches the Rfam family "Bacterial small subunit ribosomal RNA", at positions 30 to 507 of the family's 1533-position model. The record is from RNAcentral.